UACGUAGGGGGCCAGCGUUGCUCGGAAUUACUGGGCGUAAAGGGUUCGUAGGUGGUGCGGCAAGUUGGGAGUGAAAUCUCUGGGCUUAACCCAGAGGCUGCUUUCAAAACUGCCGCGCUCGAGUGCGAGAGAGGUCAGUGGAAUUGCAGGUGUAGCGGUGUAAUGCGUAGAUAUCUGCAGGAACACCCGUGGCGAAGGCGGCUGACUGGAUCGCAACUGACACUGAGGCGCGACAGCGUGGGGAGCAAACAGG
This 253-nucleotide ribosomal RNA is filed under the name uncultured bacterium. Its description in RNAcentral is "partial 16S ribosomal RNA". It matches the Rfam family "Bacterial small subunit ribosomal RNA", at positions 524 to 776 of the family's 1533-position model. The record is from RNAcentral.